GCAAAUCGUUCGUCUGACU
Molecule: small nuclear RNA, 19 nt
Filed under: Arabidopsis thaliana (thale cress)
Lineage: Eukaryota; Viridiplantae; Streptophyta; Magnoliopsida; Brassicales; Brassicaceae
Description: snRNA_05573
Source: RNAcentral